Long non-coding RNA from Passer domesticus (house sparrow), 1037 nucleotides. RefSeq lists it as uncharacterized. The record is from RefSeq and is a predicted model, not a curated record. The transcript is spliced from 3 exons. Lineage: Eukaryota; Metazoa; Chordata; Aves; Passeriformes; Passeridae.
UAUGGAUGGGAUGCAGAAUCCCAGAAGUACGGCACCAUGCACUCUGCUGCAGCUGCUGCCGAGAAUGGGACAGCCACAGGGACACAUACCAACAAGGAACUUCAGCGACACCUGUGGAGAGAACCUGAGCCACUGCCUUUUUGUCGAACCCUAAGAGAAUGCCACCGCUGUGCUGCCAGCAUCUAGGCUCAAUCCGGACCUCUCUCUGGGAAGGUUGUGGCAUCCUGGUCGAGCCAUCAGACCCUUGACCGGCCAUCAUAACAAGUGGCGCCCCAAACUCCAUGUGGACCACCCUCAGUUGGAAGUCUCUGGAGAGAGCGGCGUCCCGCACAGUGUGGGAAUGAUCCACCUCAAUUCAUCAUUCCUCUGAAGCUACCCCCUGCGUUCUAGCAGAGAAUAUCCAAAGAGGCAUUCUGAGACCCUUGACCUCACCACCUGGGAGAAGAAACCCUGAGGAUCAGAAUACAGAGGCUGACCACCAAACCAACUUUCUUUUGACCCAUCCAGCCAGAGUGGUAAGGGGAAAACUGAGAUCCAGAGCAAAAAUCUUAUCAGUCGAGUGCUGGAGACUAAACAAAGUACCUUGCAGCGCCAUAGCAGUCAAGUUAUCAAGGUGGGACACUUUUAAAGGGAGAUACGCGGCUCGAGCCAGGAACGAUACCUGUGAAGGAUCUUCCUGCUGUCAAGAAGAUGGUUUUCCCAGCUACUGGAGGCACUCCAGUGGGCAUAGGCAGAGGCAGAGGAAUGAAACUAGGGGAAGUCUUGACGAGCCUGAGUCUAGUCAUGUGCCUCAAGAUUAGCACCCACUCACACAGCUUGAGAGAACGGGUCUCCAGCAACGAGUGUGGACUGUGCAUGCGAACCAUCCUGGAUGGACGGGGCAAAGUGGAAGCUUCGACCCACCCAGCCUUGGGAAAUUGCGAAGAAGGUAGAAGAGGCAGGUACUGUUUCUUCAACUACACCCAAUAAAUGGAAAGAUGUGCUACUUGAAAGAGGCAGCAUCUAAGAUUGGAGAGUCAGAGCAUGCCCGACACAAA